RNAcentral lists this ribosomal RNA (253 nucleotides) under uncultured bacterium. RNAcentral describes it as "partial 16S ribosomal RNA". It matches the Rfam family "Bacterial small subunit ribosomal RNA", at positions 524 to 776 of the family's 1533-position model. The record is from RNAcentral.
UACGUAGGCAGCGAGCGUUGUUCGGAGUUACUGGGCGUAAAGGGUGUGUAGGCGGUUGUUUAAGUUUGGUGUGAAAUCUCCCGGCUCAACUGGGAGGGUGCGCCGAAUACUGAAUGACUCGAGUGUGGGAGAGGUGAGUGGAAUUCCUGGUGUAGCGGUGAAAUGCGUAGAUAUCAGGAGGAACACCGGUGGUGUAGACGGCUUUCUGGACCGUAACUGACGCUGAGACACGAAAGCGUGGGUAGCAAACAGG